Molecule: ribosomal RNA, 519 nt
Filed under: Cladosporium sp. 1 PV-2016
Lineage: Eukaryota; Fungi; Ascomycota; Dothideomycetes; Cladosporiales; Cladosporiaceae
Description: eukaryotic LSU rRNA
Rfam family: 5.8S ribosomal RNA (bases 170-323)
Source: RNAcentral
CGGAGGGAUCAUUACAAGAACGCCCGGGCUUCGGCCUGGUUAUUCAUAACCCUUUGUUGUCCGACUCUGUUGCCUCCGGGGCGACCCUGCCUUCGGGCGGGGGCUCCGGGUGGACACUUCAAACUCUUGCGUAACUUUGCAGUCUGAGUAAACUUAAUUAAUAAAUUAAAACUUUUAACAACGGAUCUCUUGGUUCUGGCAUCGAUGAAGAACGCAGCGAAAUGCGAUAAGUAAUGUGAAUUGCAGAAUUCAGUGAAUCAUCGAAUCUUUGAACGCACAUUGCGCCCCCUGGUAUUCCGGGGGGCAUGCCUGUUCGAGCGUCAUUUCACCACUCAAGCCUCGCUUGGUAUUGGGCAACGCGGUCCGCCGCGUGCCUCAAAUCGUCCGGCUGGGUCUUCUGUCCCCUAAGCGUUGUGGAAACUAUUCGCUAAAGGGUGUUCGGGAGGCUACGCCGUAAAACAACCCCAUUUCUAAGGUUGACCUCGGAUCAGGUAGGGAUACCCGCUGAACUUAAGCAUA